CCAAAAAGUCUUAUUAAAUGCCAAAACAGUCGGAAAAAGCUAGCAUAAUGUCAAUGUAACAGCUGAAACUCCAAAAUAGCUCAAAGAGGGGGGCAAGAGGACACAAGUGAGCAAAGGUAACAAAGUAAAUGUGAAGCAAAAGUCUGGCUUUUUGAAUCAAGCCGUUGAGGGAGGGGCUCUGAGAUUCAUGCAAAUGGAUUCACAAGGUUGGCAUGGACAAAUGCUGCUUUGCUUCAUUAGAAUGCACAAUUCCAUCUCUCUAAUUGACAUGCGAUUAAUAAUGUAUACAAUUUGUCACAGGUCAGUAUCUGCAGCAAAUCAUGUCUCCGUUUAAAAAAUAGAGACAGCUGCCCAGCCCAGGGCAGGAGGCACUCUCAGACCAGCUGCCACACUCAGCCAAGACAAAGCUCCGCUUCCUGCGAUCUGCAGGAGGAAGUGACUGAGCGGUGGAGUCCGGCCAUGACAACUUAGCGUUGAGUGCAAAGCCCCCCGAGCAACAGACGGACCGAAGGGCAGCUGGGAUCCCAGGCAGGCGGGAAGAACGGCGAGGGAGCGCAGAUACCGGCUGAAGCAACAAAAUCCAGCUUUGCUUCUUUUUGACACAAAUCACUGGAGUAUCUCUGCCUUUGUUUAGACAAAGAUUGACGAAGUGAAACAGGAAAUCCAAAUCAGAACUAGUAUUAUUGCACAAAUACUGUACUUCCUUCUUGUAAAAUCCUCAUCUUGUAUGUAAAAUAUAAGUGCAUCUUAACUUCAGAAAGGUCAAACCGAACCAGGAUGUUAGCAGUUCGAGGUUAAACUUGUUGGCUUUCAAAAACCGCUAUGUUCUAAAAAAAAUUCUAAAAAAAGGAAGUUCUGCAUUAGCACCUUCAUUUUGUUCAAAAAAACAAACAUUUCUAUGUUUUGCACAUUUUUAAGCGAUAUUUGCACCAUUCAAUUUAAAGCUCAAACAAAAGAAAACUUGGACAAUUUACAACAGCUGUCAUAAGUUUAGGAUGAAAUCCUGGAAAUAAAAUCUUAUUCCUGUAAAGUACAUUCAUUUAUGUCAUUGUAAAACUGUCCAAAAAUA
Long non-coding RNA from Oryzias melastigma (Indian medaka), 1069 nucleotides. RefSeq lists it as uncharacterized. Lineage: Eukaryota; Metazoa; Chordata; Actinopteri; Beloniformes; Adrianichthyidae. The transcript is spliced from 2 exons. The record is from RefSeq and is a predicted model, not a curated record.